This 243-nucleotide ribosomal RNA is filed under the name uncultured bacterium. Its description in RNAcentral is "partial 16S ribosomal RNA". It matches the Rfam family "Bacterial small subunit ribosomal RNA", at positions 793 to 1034 of the family's 1533-position model. The record is from RNAcentral.
GUCCACGCUGUAAACGAUGUCUACUAGCCGUCGGGGUCCUUAGUGACUUUGGUGGCGCAGCUAACGCGAUAAGUAGACCGCCUGGGGAGUACGGCCGCAAGGUUAAAACUCAAAUGAAUUGACGGGGGCCCGCACAAGCGGUGGAGCAUGUGGUUUAAUUCGAUGCAACGCGAAGAACCUUACCAGGUCUUGACAUCCUCGGAACUUGGCAGAGAUGCCUUGGUGCCUUCGGGAGCCGAGUGA